Sander lucioperca (pikeperch) is the source of this 529-nucleotide long non-coding RNA. RefSeq lists it as uncharacterized. The record is from RefSeq and is a predicted model, not a curated record. The transcript has 2 exons. Lineage: Eukaryota; Metazoa; Chordata; Actinopteri; Perciformes; Percidae.
UUAUGUUUAUUAAAUGAAGCCCAAAAUAUGUCGCCGACUACAAAUCGCUAGUAUCAGCUAGCGCUAGCUAACGUCAGCGUUUCAUGCUGGGAAUGUAAUGUAUAGAAACUCAUAAUGUAAUGAUGUAAUAAAAUGUGGAGUUCAAAAUUAAAUUGGGAUGAAUUGGGAUUUUUGGGGGAAACUAUUCUAUUUUAAAGAUUGUCUGACAGGGCCACUACCCCCACUCCGCCAAGAGUGACAUUGCCCUCCCUGCCAAAAGUGGUCCUCAGGCCCUGGGUGAAGUCCUCCAGCUGCUUGGGGGUCAGGGAGGACUGCACUGCUGUGUAGUGGUUCCUCAGGUGAAGUGAAGAGUUGAUGGACAGCAUGUUGAAGAAAAGAGGACUGGGGUUGUAGUUUGGCAAAGGGCAGAUGUCUUGAGCAAUAGAGGCCAGGUGGGCUGCGUCCUCAGGAGGGCAAUGCAUGUUCCCCAUCUUGAUAUUAACUUGUCAGUUGAAGGAGAUUUGAUAAGAACAGUUCCUGCUAAAAAAAA